ACGGGAGGCAGCAGUGGGGAAUAUUGGACAAUGGGGGAAACCCUGAUCCAGCGACGCCGCGUGAGUGAUGAAGUAUUUCGGUAUGUAAAGCUCUAUCAGCAGGGAAGAUAAUGACGGUACCUGACUAAGAAGCCCCGGCUAACUACGUGCCAGCAGCCGCGGUAAUAUGUAGGGGGCAAGCGUUAUCCGGAUUUACUGGGUGUAAAGGGAGCGUAGGCGGCACGGCAAGUCUGAUGUGAAAUCCCGGGGCUCAACCCCGGGACUGCAUUGGAAACUGUCGGGCUAGAGUGCAGGAGAGGUAAGCGGAAUUCCUAGUGUAGCGGUGAAAUGCGUAGAUAUUAGGAGGAACACCGGUGGCGAAGGCGGCUUACUGGACUGUAACUGACGUUGAGGCUCGAAAGCGUGGGGAGCAAACAGGAUUAGAUACCCUGGUA
RNAcentral lists this ribosomal RNA (434 nucleotides) under uncultured Lachnospiraceae bacterium. RNAcentral describes it as "partial 16S ribosomal RNA". It matches the Rfam family "Bacterial small subunit ribosomal RNA", at positions 341 to 792 of the family's 1533-position model. The record is from RNAcentral. Lineage: Bacteria; Bacillati; Bacillota; Clostridia; Lachnospirales; Lachnospiraceae.